AUUGAACGCUGGCGGCAUGCUUUACACAUGCAAGUCGAGCGGCAGCGCGGGGCAACCUGGCGGCGAGCGGCGAACGGGUGAGGAAACCAUCGGAACGUGCCCGAGAGUGGGGGAUAACGCCGCGAAAGCGGCGCUAAUACCGCAUAUUCUCCGAGGAGGAAAGUGGGGGACCUGCAAGGGCCUCACGCUCACGGAGCGGCCGAUGUCGGAUUAGCUAGUUGGUGGGGUAAAGGCUUACCAAGGCGACGAUCCGUAGCUGGUCUGAGAGGAUGAUCAGCCACACUGGGACUGAGACACGGCCCAGACUCCUACGGGAGGCAGCAGUGGGGAAUUUUGGACAAUGGGGGCAACCCUGAUCCAGCCAUGCCGCGUGCGGGAAGAAGGCCUUCGGGUUGUAAACCGCUUUUAGCCGGGAAGAAAAGGCGACUCUUAAUAGGGGUCGUUCUUGACGGUACCGGCGGAAUAAGCACCGGCUAACUACGUGCCAGCAGCCGCGGUAAUACGUAGGGUGCGAGCGUUAAUCGGAAUUACUGGGCGUAAAGCGUGCGCAGGCGGUUCGUUAAGUUCGUUGUGAAAGCCCCGGGCUCAACCUGGGAACUGCAAUGGAAACUGGCGGGCUUGAAUGCGGCAGAGGGGGGUGGAAUUCCGCGUGUAGCAGUGAAAUGCGUAGAGAUGCGGAGGAACACCGAUGGCGAAGGCAGCCCCCUGGGCCGACAUUGACGCUCAGGCACGAAAGCGUGGGUAGCAAACAGGAUUAGAUACCCUGGUAGUCCACGCCCUAAACGAUGCUCACUAGGUGUUGGGGAAGCGAUUCCUUGGUACCGUAGCUAACGCGUGAAGUGAGCCGCCUGGGGAGUACGGCCGCAAGGUUA
Molecule: ribosomal RNA, 872 nt
Filed under: uncultured bacterium
Lineage: Bacteria
Description: bacterial SSU rRNA
Rfam family: Bacterial small subunit ribosomal RNA
Source: RNAcentral